This 253-nucleotide ribosomal RNA is filed under the name uncultured bacterium. RNAcentral describes it as "partial 16S ribosomal RNA". It matches the Rfam family "Bacterial small subunit ribosomal RNA", at positions 524 to 776 of the family's 1533-position model. The record is from RNAcentral.
UACGUAGGGUGCGAGCGUUGUCCGGAAUUAUUGGGCGUAAAGAGCUUGUAGGCGGUUUGUCGCGUCUGCCGUGAAAAUUCGAGGCUCAACCUCGAACUUGCGGUGGGUACGGGCAGACUAGAGUGUGGUAGGGGAGACUGGAAUUCCUGGUGUAGCGGUGAAAUGCGCAGAUAUCAGGAGGAACACCGAUGGCGAAGGCAGCCGCCUGGGCCGACAUUGACGCUCAGGCACGAAAGCGUGGGGAGCAAACAGG